UUUAUAUUUAUUUAUUUAUUUAUUGAUUAUAUAUAUAUAUAUAAAUAUUAAAAAUAGUUAUAAAAUUUUAAUUUUUAGUAUUAAUUAUAGAAAAAAUAAAAUUAAUUAUAGUUUAUUAGUAUUGAAAAAGAAAUUUGAAAUAUUAUGAAAAAUAAUAAUUAAAAAAGAAAAAUUUAUUUUUUGUACCUUGUGUAUCAGGGUUUAUUAAAUAAUAUUUAAAAAUUUAAAUUUCUCGAUUUUAAAAGAUUUAAUAUAUUAAUAAAUAUAAAGUAAAAAAUUUAUUUUUAAUAAUAUAUUUGAAAUGAAAUGUUUUUCGUUUUUAAAGGUAUCUAGUUUUUUAAGAAAUAAAUUUAAUUUAUAAAUUUUAUAUUAUUUAUUUGAUUAAGAAAAUAAGUAAUUAUUUAAUUUUAAUAUUUUAUGGGAUAAGCUAUAAAAUAAAAAUUUAAAAAUAAUAAUAAGUUUAAUAAAAUAUAGGGUUAAAAUUAUUCAAUAUUAAAAAAAAUGUAAUAAUUUAUUAUUAUAAAAUAAUAAUUUUAUAAAUUUUAAUUAUUUAUUAAUAUAUAAUUUUUAAUUAUAAUAAAUUAGAAAUAAUGAUAGAAUUAGUAUAAUAAUUUAUAUAAAUAAUAAUAAAUUUUAAUUUUUUUUAAAGAAUUCAGCAAAUAUUAAUAUUCACCUGUUUAACAAAAACAUCUCUUUAUGAUUGAAUAUAAAGUUUAACCUGCCCACUGAAAUUUUAAAUGGCUGCAGUAUAUUGACUGUACAAAGGUAGCAUAAUCAUUAGUUUUUUAAUUGAGAACUGGAAUGAAUGGUUGGAUGAAAUAUUAACUGUUUCAAAAAAAAUUUAUUAGAAUUUUAUUUUUUAGUAAAAAAGCUAAAAUUUUUUUAAAAGACGAGAAGACCCUAUAAAUCUUAUAUAUAAUAUUAUAAAUAUAAAUUAAUUAGAAGAUUUUAAUUUAUUUAUUUUUUAUAUUUUAUUGGGGAGAUAAUAAAAUUUAAUAAACUUUUAUUUUAUAGAUUCAUUGAUUUAUGAAUUAUUGAUUAAUUAUUAAUGAAUAAAAAAAUAAGUUACUUUAGGGAUAACAGCGUAAUUAUUUUGGAGAGUUCAUAUUGAUAAAAUAGA
RNAcentral lists this ribosomal RNA (1120 nucleotides) under Phthiridium hindlei. Its description in RNAcentral is "partial 16S ribosomal RNA". The record is from RNAcentral. Lineage: Eukaryota; Metazoa; Arthropoda; Insecta; Diptera; Nycteribiidae.